ACGGGGACGAGCCAGAGCAUG
This 21-nucleotide microRNA is filed under the name Solanum lycopersicum (tomato). Its description in RNAcentral is "sly-miR408". Its record names the gene sly-miR408. The record is from miRBase by way of RNAcentral. Lineage: Eukaryota; Viridiplantae; Streptophyta; Magnoliopsida; Solanales; Solanaceae.